Molecule: non-coding RNA, 74 nt
Filed under: Musa acuminata subsp. malaccensis (wild Malaysian banana)
Lineage: Eukaryota; Viridiplantae; Streptophyta; Magnoliopsida; Zingiberales; Musaceae
Description: tRNA
Rfam family: tRNA
About the family: Transfer RNA (tRNA) molecules are approximately 80 nucleotides in length. Their secondary structure includes four short double-helical elements and three loops (D, anti-codon, and T loops).
Source: Rfam by way of RNAcentral
GGCCUAUUAGCUCAGUUGAUUAAAGCAUCGUGCUAAUAACGCGAAGAUCGCAGGUUUAAGGCCUGCAUGGGCCA